CCCUAGCCCUGAUGGUAGCGGCAUCCUUUUGUGCCGGGGUUCGGCGCAAAAGAUACAGCGGACAGCAGGAAACAGC
This is a non-coding RNA of Flavobacterium sp. LM4, 76 nucleotides long. The record is from Rfam. Lineage: Bacteria; Pseudomonadati; Bacteroidota; Flavobacteriia; Flavobacteriales; Flavobacteriaceae.